GAGAGCGCAGUACAACGGAGAGUUGUAUGCUGCGUUCGGGAAGAUCAGUCGGGGGACCUGAGAGGCGGUGGUUUACCCUGC
Molecule: non-coding RNA, 81 nt
Organism: Nicotiana attenuata
Lineage: Eukaryota; Viridiplantae; Streptophyta; Magnoliopsida; Solanales; Solanaceae
Source: Rfam